UACGAAGGGGGCUAGCGUUGCUCGGAAUCACUGGGCGUAAAGCGCACGUAGGCGGCUUUCUAAGUCAGGGGUGAAAUCCUGGAGCUCAACUCCAGAACUGCCUUUGAUACUGGGAAGCUCGAGUCCGGAAGAGGUGAGUGGAACUGCGAGUGUAGAGGUGAAAUUCGUAGAUAUUCGCAAGAACACCAGUGGCGAAGGCGGCUCACUGGCCCGGUACUGACGCUGAGACGCGAAAGCGUGGGGAGCGAACAGG
RNAcentral lists this ribosomal RNA (253 nucleotides) under uncultured bacterium. RNAcentral's name for it is "partial 16S ribosomal RNA". It matches the Rfam family "Bacterial small subunit ribosomal RNA", at positions 524 to 776 of the family's 1533-position model. The record is from RNAcentral.